AUGGCGCGGUCCAGGCCUAGGUUCUGGCUCGUGGCGGGCUGCGUCGCCCUGCUGCUCUGGGCCUCCGUCGCGCAGCUCGUCGCCGUCGGCCGCCUCCUCUCCCUCUUCGGCCUCGCCGGCAGCGCGCCCGGCCCCUCGCCGCCGCCUUCCUCGCCCCCUCCCCCGCCGCCGCCCCCAAGAAUCUACAAAAGCAAUGGCUAUCUGAAGAUAUCCUGCAAUGGGGGUCUUAAUCAGAUGCGUUCAGAGAUAUGUGACAUGGUGGCAGUGGCGCGUUUGCUAAACCUCACGAUGGUUGUGCCAGAGCUUGACAAGAGAUCAUUCUGGGCUGAUCAGAGCAAUUUUGGAGACAUAUUUGAUGUGAGGCAUUUCAUUACCUCAUUAAGAGAUGAAGUGCGCAUUGUCAAACGGCUGCCAAAGAGGUUUGGUCCAACAGAUUCAGGCAUCAUGCUGGACAUGUCACCUGUGAGCUGGUCAGAUGAGAAAUACUACUUGCACCAGAUCUUACCACUCUUCAGCAAAUAUAAAGUCAUCCACUUUAACAAGACAGAUGCUCGGUUAGCAAACAAUGGCAUCAGUACUGAGCUUCAACUUGUUAGAUGCCGUGUUAAUUUUCGUGCUCUGAAGUUUACCCCUCAAAUUGAGGCACUGGGGAAUAAAUUGGUACAGAAACUUCGAGACAAGGGAUCAUUUGUGGCAUUGCAUUUACGAUAUGAGAUGGACAUGCUCGCAUUUUCUGGUUGCAAUCAUGGCCUUAAUCCUGAAGAAGCCGAGGAACUCAAAAGAAUGAGAUAUGCAUAUCCAUGGUGGAGAGAUAAAGAAAUUGAUUCGAAAACCAAGAGAUCAGAAGGACUAUGCCCACUUACGCCUGAGGAGACGUCACUGGUUUUGAAAGCACUGGGCUUUGAAAAGGAUACUCUCAUAUACAUUGCUGCUGGUGAAAUUUACGGGGGAGAAAAGAGAUUGAAACCAUUACGAGCUGCUUUUCCAAAACUUGUAAGAAAAGAGAUGCUGCUAGAUUCAGAACCUCUGCGCCAGUUUCAAAACCAUUCUUCUCAGAUGGCUGCACUCGAUUUCAUUGUAUCCACUGCUAGUGAUGUGUUCCUUCCUACCUAUGAUGGUAACAUGGCGAAACUUGUUGAAGGCCACAGAAGGUUCCUGGGUUUCCGAAAAAGCGUGUUGCCAGACCGACGGAAACUAGUUGAACUUAUAGACUUGUACAACAACAAGACAAUUUCUUGGGAGAAUUUUACAUCUUCUGUCCAAGAAGUUCAUAGAGGCCGUGUGGUCCAACCGUCCUGUCGGCGAAAACUCGAAAACAAGCCGAAAGAGGAGGAUUAUUUCUACGCUAACCCCCACGAGUGCCUGGCCAAUUCAAGCCUGUGCAGUGGAAGCAAGGAUACAGUCACUGUAAGGUGA
This 1416-nucleotide ribosomal RNA is filed under the name Triticum aestivum (bread wheat). RNAcentral's name for it is "partial small subunit ribosomal RNA". The record is from RNAcentral. Lineage: Eukaryota; Viridiplantae; Streptophyta; Magnoliopsida; Poales; Poaceae.